UUUUUUUUUUUUGUUUAGGAAAUGCAGUAUUUCAUUAUGUAUGGGAUCAUUCUCUUGUAUAUAUGCUAUAUUAAACAUGCCAUUUGUUAGAUGUUUCAAUUAUGAACACAAUUUUUACCAACAUCUGUUUCAAGUAUGAACACAAUCAAACCUUUUUCACUGUGUGACCAGAUGCUGAUUUAUUUUAUUUUAUUUUAUUUUUUCAUGUUGAUUUCUUUUAUUUGGUCAUUGUGUGCUCUGCUUUGUUUUUGUUAUUUGACCUAUAGCCUUCUUGCUAGGGUGAAGAUAUCUCCAAUGUCUUUUGAUGUCUGAAGUCUUAUUGGGAACCUAUAAGGAAGCUCUUUCUCAGUUAUUCUCUCAAGCAUCAACAACACAUAUGCAUCAUUUUCAAGAUGAAUGAUUUAUUCUCUUUCAUUUUGAUGUUAGGAAUAAAGUAAUUUUGAUUUGGGGCUGCACUUUUUAGAUCUCAUAAUUUUAAUUUUGUUAUGGCUGA
Macadamia integrifolia is the source of this 493-nucleotide long non-coding RNA. RefSeq lists it as uncharacterized. Lineage: Eukaryota; Viridiplantae; Streptophyta; Magnoliopsida; Proteales; Proteaceae. The record is from RefSeq and is a predicted model, not a curated record. The transcript is spliced from 2 exons.